ACGAACGCUGGCGGCGUGCUUAACACAUGCAAGUCGAACGGAAAGGCCCCUUUGGGGGUACUCGAGUGGCGAACGGGUGAGUAACACGUGAGUAACCUGCCCUUGACUUCGGGAUAACUUCAGGAAACUGGGGCUAAUACCGGAUAGGAAUCCUUGCUGCAUGGUGGGGGUUGGAAAGCUUCGGCGGUUUUGGAUGGACUCGCGGCUUAUCAGCUUGUUGGUGGGGUAGUGGCUUACCAAGGCUUUGACGGGUAGCCGGCCUGAGAGGGCGACCGGCCACAUUGGGACUGAGAUACGGCCCAGACUCCUACGGGAGGCAGCAGUGGGGAAUAUUGCACAAUGGGCGGAAGCUUGAUGCAGCAACGCCGCGUGCGGGAUGACGGCCUUCGGGUUGUAAACCGCUUUCAGCAGGGGCGAAGCUUGUGGUGACGGUACCUGCAGAAGAAGCACCGGCUAACUACGUG
RNAcentral lists this ribosomal RNA (464 nucleotides) under uncultured bacterium. Its description in RNAcentral is "partial 16S ribosomal RNA". It matches the Rfam family "Bacterial small subunit ribosomal RNA", at positions 29 to 507 of the family's 1533-position model. The record is from RNAcentral.